UCUUUGCCGGCGUAAUGAGGUUGUGAUUUGAUUAUUUUCAAAUUACAUUAAAAGGGAAGAUAGUGAUUGAAAAGUUUUUUUUUAAGUUUUUUCAUAAAUUGUAAAUAUGAAACUACUACAAGAAAAAUCAUCUUCAAAAAUCUAGCGCUGUACCCGCAACUGUAAGCUAUAAAGAUUGAUGUUAUCUACAAUACCAUUGUCCGCCGCGGCGGAUGAGAAGGUCAACAUCAAGACGCGAGCCAGGAGACCUGCCUAUUGCACAGAGUAUCAA
RNAcentral lists this non-coding RNA (271 nucleotides) under Flavobacterium sp. CECT 9288. The record is from RNAcentral. Lineage: Bacteria; Pseudomonadati; Bacteroidota; Flavobacteriia; Flavobacteriales; Flavobacteriaceae.